GUUGCUAUUUUUUAUAUCAAAGAAUUUGGCCUGAUAAGCUCAUUUUACCUAGAAAUGUCCAGCAAUGUUUUCAGCAUCACUGAAAUGUGUCACAAGUCCACAGAUGCUGCUCCCACAUUGUGGUCCAAAAGGGUUGGGGGGGCCGGUGACCAUGUCAUUGCACCCCCUCUGGAUCCAUCCCCACAAACUCACAGUGAUCAAACAGGAUCUGAUUCUCAGCUCACAAAAAGCAAUAUACUCAGACAUACCAAUAGCGUAAUGGCUGCCUCCUCAAGACAAAUCACCUUGAGACCAUAAGGUGACAGCAAAUGGAGAGAAUGGAAAGUUGCCAGCAAUAACACAGAGACAAGUUACAAAAGAAGAUUUUGAAGGUAUCAAAAGAUGAUUUAAGGAGAUACAUAGGAAGCUUCAAACAGGGUGGGGUAUAGUUAGGCUGGCUUUUGUAGCAAGGGAAAGAUUUUCUAGUAUAGCUACAGAACUAAUCAAAUUCAGAGAAGACAACCUACAGACCUGCUUGCCUUCCUCAACACGGAUGGAUGAAUCAGGAUUUUCAAGGGAAGGAAAUCUAUUGUUUUUCAAAUGAUUUGCAAUUUCUUAUGCUUUAUCCUUUGAGUAAAAGCAAU
Molecule: long non-coding RNA, 623 nt
Organism: Gavialis gangeticus (Gharial)
Lineage: Eukaryota; Metazoa; Chordata; Crocodylia; Gavialidae
Exons: 3
Source: RefSeq, a predicted model, not a curated record